UGUGACUUUUUGUAGGAGCCAGUUAUGGCAAUUGCCUUGAAGAGCGUUUGGCUUUAUUAUAUUGCCCUCUACCAGCACUGCAGGAGAUUGCAGACUGAUGCUUAGCACAUGGAGGAGUAAGUCUGGCAGGAGAACCACGAGAUCAAUAGAACUUUCUUUGGUCCCAUUUCAAACCCAGCACAGGAUUUAUGAGAUGACAAUUGGCUCCAUCGUGUUCCAGGUGGCUGCUGGUGAUAUUACCAAGGAAAGUGGAGAUGUCAUCAUAGACAUAUCAAACCAAACUUUCAACCUCUAAACAGGUACUUCAGUCACUAUUAUGUGUGGAAAUAGGACUAUUUCCACAUGUAAUAGGAAGCACUAAGAAGGUGAGUGGGAAGCUUUCUUGUUAUUCUAUGCUACUGGAUAAUGCAUUUAAGACUUGCAGGAAAGUGAAAUUAUUAACUUCAAUUUUUCGAUAAUAUCUUUUAACACAACAUCUCUUAUAUUAAAGGAGAGGAAUGUUAUUGUGGCUUUUACUUCAGUGAAACUUCUUAGGUUUCUCAAGAUGUCUUUUGACUUGAAAUGCAUAAGCCUAAUAUUUAAAUGAUACUGUCCAAUUAUAAUUUGUGCUUUUACCAAAAAUGAGAGUAUGGAGUAUCUGAUUCUGCCUUCAAGACAAAAGAGCAUCUAAACCUUUGUAAAGAACAAGAUCUACCUAUGAUUGCAUCCUCUUAUUCUGGUAAAGCUUUAAAUGAUAUAGACAAGUCCACAGACUUGAACACAGGUAUGAGCUGAGGAUGAUGUUAGCAGAACUCUUAAUAGAGAAGCUGUGUCUCAUUAGGAG
Molecule: long non-coding RNA, 823 nt
Filed under: Phasianus colchicus (ring-necked pheasant)
Lineage: Eukaryota; Metazoa; Chordata; Aves; Galliformes; Phasianidae
Description: lncRNA (ENSPCLG00000004555.1)
Source: RNAcentral